This 368-nucleotide long non-coding RNA is filed under the name Actinidia chinensis (golden kiwifruit). RNAcentral's name for it is "long non-coding RNA (ACHI_LNC008408)". The record is from RNAcentral. Lineage: Eukaryota; Viridiplantae; Streptophyta; Magnoliopsida; Ericales; Actinidiaceae.
UUUAUUUGGUGUCAGCGCCUUCACCUGUUUGUUCCGAACUUUUUAGCAUUAGUGUUCUCUUUUGUUUUUUGUGUGGAUUUCAAUACAUGUGCAUGCAAUUGUGUGUGUGCAAUAUUUAUUGUUAUGCUUCCGCUAUACCCAACACCAAACAACACCCUAAUUAGGGACAAUGAGUUAUUUAACAAAUCAAAAGACGGGAGUUGUUAAGUUGAACUCAAGUUAAUUUAAAUAUAAUUAGUUAUAUAGUUUGGUUGAAAAUAAGUUCACACAAUUGUACAUAGAAGAGUAUACAAAUAUAAUGGCAGCUAUGUAGAUUCGAAAUUUCUAGUAAAAUGUAUGCUCGUAACCUAGAAGAUAAAGUACAUUAC